Molecule: ribosomal RNA, 253 nt
Filed under: uncultured bacterium
Lineage: Bacteria
Description: partial 16S ribosomal RNA
Rfam family: Bacterial small subunit ribosomal RNA
Source: RNAcentral
UACAGAGGUCCCAAGCGUUGUUCGGAUUCACUGGGCGUAAAGGGUGCGUAGGCGGUCGGGUAAGUCUGGCGUGAAAUCUCCAAGCCUAACUUGGAAACUGCGUUGGAUACUAUCCGGCUCGAGGAAUGGAGGGGAGACUGGAAUACUUGGUGUAGCAGUGAAAUGCGUAGAUAUCAAGUGGAACACCAGUGGCGAAGGCGAGUCUCUGGACAUUUCCUGACGCUGAGGCACGAGAGCCAGGGGAGCAAACGGG